Molecule: ribosomal RNA, 293 nt
Filed under: uncultured bacterium
Lineage: Bacteria
Description: partial 16S ribosomal RNA
Rfam family: Bacterial small subunit ribosomal RNA
Source: RNAcentral
GUGUCAGCCGCCGCGGUAAUACGGAGGGGGCGAGCGUUGUCCGAAUUCAUUGGGCGUAAAGCGCGUGUAGGCGGAUGGGAAAGCCUGGGGUGAAAGGUUGGAGCUCAACUCCAUACAGUGCCCUGGGGACUUCUUGUCUGGAGGCAGGCAGGGGACCGUGGAAUUCCUGGUGUAGCGGUGGAAUGCGUAGAGAUCAGGAAGAACACCCGUGGCGAAGGCGGCGGUCUGGGCCUGUGCUGACGCUGAGACGCGAAAGCGUGGGGAGCGAACGGGAUUAGAAACCCUUGUAGUCC